CCCAGCCAGUGGAACAGACCAGCUGGCCCGGCUCAUCGAUGAGAGAUGCUAUUUGAGUUGUCAUUUCCGUUGCCAGGCCUCACAUCUGUAGCUUGGGAUGCGCCCACUUGUCUCUGGGAUCUGCAUCUGCUCCUGGAGCUCAUUCAAAGGGAAUGGCUCUUGGAAUCAAGGUCCAUUGUGGAGAAAGAUGGCCUUUCCUCUAUCCAGUGAAGAGAUUUCUCCUUGGGUGCCGCCUCUGGACAUCUUGGAACCUGGAAGAAUUUGCCAUGGAAGCAAUGACAAUCUUGUCAUAGAAGCAGUGGUGAUCAGAGCAAGAAAUGAACCAAUACAUCAUCUGGACUGACUCCUGUGUCAUAUAGAUAGGAAACUGAGACCCAGAGAGGAAAAGAAGUUCCAGGCAUCAGUGUGUUGGGGCCACUGGCAUAAACAGUGAACGGCUUGAUGUAAAACCAGAGUCCAGUUGCUGAAGGCCUGCUUCCCUCCACUAAACACCCUAUAUCUCCUUAUAAAGUAAAGGGUAGAGGGGAAAAGGGAACAUUUUUGGAAUUAAGAGCAUUAUGCACACCUAUAUAUUUACUAAUCAUGGAGGCCAGUUAAUGUUCUAUGUUUGGGAGAUUGGGACCCUGGGGGCCUAACUUCGAGUCUCAUCUCUACCCUGUUCUAGCUGGAUGACUUUGAGUGAAGAACCCAUCUCCAAGACUCUGUUUCUUUACCCAUAGUAUGGGUUUGAUACCUGUGCCUGUUCUGUGGAGUCGUUAUAAGGAUAAAGUGAGUUGAUAUAUGCACCAAGUUUCUAAUACUGUAUGUGGCACACAGUAGGUCUUCAACAAGUGCAACUUAUUAUUAUUGCUCAUAAGCAUUUAGAGAAAUAUUUGAAGG
RNAcentral lists this long non-coding RNA (879 nucleotides) under Mustela putorius furo (domestic ferret). RNAcentral describes it as "lncRNA (ENSMPUG00000026042.1)". The record is from RNAcentral. Lineage: Eukaryota; Metazoa; Chordata; Mammalia; Carnivora; Mustelidae.